Lentinula lateritia is the source of this 84-nucleotide non-coding RNA. Lineage: Eukaryota; Fungi; Basidiomycota; Agaricomycetes; Agaricales; Omphalotaceae. The record is from the annotation of a GenBank genome assembly.
GGGCGUAUGGUCUAGAGGUAUGAUACCUGCUUUGGGCGAUGAGUUCAUUGCAGGGGGUCUUCGGUUCGAAUCCGGAUUCGCCCC